Long non-coding RNA from Aethalodelphis obliquidens (Pacific white-sided dolphin), 1392 nucleotides. RefSeq lists it as uncharacterized. The transcript has 3 exons. NCBI's taxonomy places the organism in Eukaryota, Metazoa, Chordata, Mammalia, Artiodactyla, Delphinidae. The record is from RefSeq and is a predicted model, not a curated record.
UGGUGGUUGUUUAGCCCCUUCUGCCAACAAUGUGAACAUCAAAUGAAUCACCCGUGACCUUGGAAAAUCAGGUCACAAUGUACAGUCCUAUAACUCUUUUCCAGGCUAAUUUUCUCUCCUGGCACUAAUCCACUGUAGGCAUGAAUUCAAAUGUCUUCUUUCAUUCCCACUUAAAUCCAGGCGAUGGUUUUUAACAACUCUUCUCUAAACACUUGGAGAAGGAAUCUCACAGAGGACUGCUUAUCCUGCUACUAGCCUUGGCUACUCUUUUGAGGCUCCUAAUCUGAGUAUCUCAGCCCAACUCCUUCCACAGGGAAGUCCAGCCCACCCAGACAUCCACCCAGCCUGAAGUCCAGCCCUACAAUUGCCUCAGCCCGAGAGUAGAUGAUGCCUCCUCUUCUACAGCCUAUGGUUCAAAGUUUGUUUAUUGACAAAGAGGACAUCAGGGAAGAAAAGAAACAUCAUUCCCACUCCAAGGAGGCUUAGGAAAAUAUUGGAGGAGUCCCAGGCUUCUCUUGAUCUGUGAAGGACCCCAGAUUCAGCUUGGUGGAGAUAGUUCCAGUUUUCUCCAAGAGAACUAAUUUCUAAAAUAGAUAAUAAAAUUAAAAUGUUCAUUAUGAUAACUUCCUCCAAAAAAAGUCAUAGAAACUUCAUUUUAAGAAACUGACUUUCCUGUACCACAUGUUGGCUCAGGUCUUCUUUUCUAUGCUCUCUCUCCUUGAAUGAUUUCAUCUGUUCUUAUAGCUUUAAAGAUCAGUCCAGUCCUAAUUUGCAAGCUCCACAUACCCAUGUUUUCAACUGCCUGUUUGACUUCUCCAACUGGAGGUCAAAAAGGCAAUAUGUCCAUAAGAAAUCUCUUGAUCUUCUACCAAAGUCUUUUCAUUUUCCAGUCUUUCCAUCACACUAAAUGUCUGUUAACCACCUAGGAUUGGAAACUACUACAUAUUGGAAACUACUUUUCCUCUCACCUCUAACCCCUUCCAACCCAUCAUCAUUACCACAUCCUGGUGAUUCUACUGUCCAAAUAAAAAUUCAAGUCAGGACUUCUCUCCACCUCCACAGUCACCACCCUUAAGCUGGACUGAAUGUUUAUGUCCCAUCAAAAUUCAUGGGUUGAAAUCCUAACCCUCAAUGUAAUGGUUUUAGAAGGUGGGACCUCUGAGAGGAGAUUGGGUCACGAGGAUAGAGCCUUCAUGAAUGGGAUUAGUGCCCUUAUAGAAGAGACCCCAGAAAAUUCUCUUGCCCCUUCUGCAAUGGAGGACCCAGCAUAGAAGAAUAGAAGAUGACCUUCUAUGAACUAGGCCUUCACCAGACACCAAAUCUGCCAGUGCCUUAAUCUUGGACUUCCCAGAAUCUGGAACUGUAAUAAAUAAGCGUUUGUUGUUUCCUUUA